UGGGGAAUAUUGCACAAUGGGCGAAAGCCUGAUGCAGCGACGCCGCGUGAGGGAUGACGGCCUUCGGGUUGUAAACCUCUUUCAGCAGGGAAGAAGCGAAAGUGACGGUACCUGCAGAAGAAGCGCCGGCUAACUACGUGCCAGCAGCCGCGGUAAUACGUAGGGCGCAAGCGUUGUCCGGAAUUAUUGGGCGUAAAGAGCUCGUAGGCGGUUAGUCGCGUCUGCUGUGAAAACUCGAGGCUCAACCUCGGGCUUGCAGUGGGUACGGGCUGACUAGAGUGCGGUAGGGGUGACUGGAAUUCCUGGUGUAGCGGUGGAAUGCGCAGAUAUCAGGAGGAACACCGAUGGCGAAGGCAGGUCACUGGGCCGCAACUGACGCUGAGGAGCGAAAGCAUGGGGAGCGAACA
Molecule: ribosomal RNA, 407 nt
Filed under: uncultured bacterium
Lineage: Bacteria
Also listed under: 1 other name
Description: bacterial SSU rRNA
Rfam family: Bacterial small subunit ribosomal RNA
Source: RNAcentral